CAGUAGCCGCGGUAAUACGUAGGUGGCAAGCGUUGUCCGGAAUUAUUGGGCGUAAAGGGCUCGCAGGCGGUUUCUUAAGUCUGAUGUGAAAGCCCCCGGCUCAACCGGGGAGGGUCAUUGGAAACUGGGAAACUUGAGUGCAGAAGAGGAGAGUGGAAUUCCACGUGUAGCGGUGAAAUGCGUAGAGAUGUGGAGGAACACCAGUGGCGAAGGCGACUCUCUGGUCCGUAACUGACGCUGAGGAGCGAAAGCGUGGGGAGCGAACAGGAUUAGAUACCCCCGUAGUCCCUGUCUCUUAUAC
Molecule: ribosomal RNA, 301 nt
Filed under: uncultured bacterium
Lineage: Bacteria
Description: partial 16S ribosomal RNA
Rfam family: Bacterial small subunit ribosomal RNA
Source: RNAcentral